This 492-nucleotide ribosomal RNA is filed under the name uncultured bacterium. RNAcentral describes it as "partial 16S ribosomal RNA". It matches the Rfam family "Bacterial small subunit ribosomal RNA", at positions 29 to 507 of the family's 1533-position model. The record is from RNAcentral.
AGUGAACGCUGGCGGUAGGCCUAACACAUGCAAGUCGAACGGCAGCACAGUAAGAGCUUGCUCUUACGGGUGGCGAGUGGCGGACGGGUGAGGAAUACAUCGGAAUCUACUUUCUCGUGGGGGAUAACGUAGGGAAACUUACGCUAAUACCGCAUACGACCUACGGGUGAAAGCAGGGGAUCUUCGGACCUUGCGCGAUUGAAUGAGCCGAUGUCGGAUUAGCUAGUUGGCGGGGUAAAGGCCCACCAAGGCGACGAUCCGUAGCUGGUCUGAGAGGAUGAUCAGCCACACUGGAACUGAGACACGGUCCAGACUCCUGCGGGAGGCAGCAGUGGGGAAUAUUGGACAAUGGGCGCAAGCCUGAUCCAGCCAUACCGCGUGGGUGAAGAAGGCCUUCGGGUUGUAAAGCCCUUUUGUUGGGAAAGAAAAGCAGCAGGUUAAUACCCCGCUGUUCUGACGGUACCCAAAGAAUAAGCACCGGCUAACUUCGUG